AUUGUGGACUCGUAUGAAAGGCAAAAUGAGAGCCUGACUGUCUCUUACAACUAAUCAAUUAAACUGAUCCCCCAGUACAAAAGCUGGGAUAUCCCCAUAAGACCAGAAGACCCUGUGAAGCUUUAACUAACCUAUUAAACCCUAUAAUAAUUAAUUUCGGUUGGGGCGACCUUGGAACAAAAAAGAACUUCCAACACGUGACCUCCUCACAAAUAAGGCAAACAAGCCACAUUAGACCCAGAAUAUCUGAUUAAUGAACCAAGUUACUCCAGGGAUAACAGCGCUAUCUUCUUCAAGAGCCCAUAUCAAAAAGAAGGUUUACGACCUCGAUGUUGGAUCAGGACAUCCUAGUAAUGCAACCGUUACUGAGGGUUCGUUUGUUCAACGAUUAACAGUCCUA
This 400-nucleotide ribosomal RNA is filed under the name Vipera ammodytes (sand viper). RNAcentral describes it as "partial 16S ribosomal RNA". It matches the Rfam family "Bacterial large subunit ribosomal RNA", at positions 1979 to 2598 of the family's 2925-position model. Lineage: Eukaryota; Metazoa; Chordata; Lepidosauria; Squamata; Viperidae. The record is from RNAcentral.